GAUCUGUUGAAGUGACAAGGUCCCGUUUCCUACGCCUAAGCACCAGAUGUCCAGUGGAGUUUUGUAUUGCCUGUGGUUUAUAAAUAACGGUUCACAGCUGAUGAAGAGUGCAAGAAUUACAUUUGAACCUCACAGCCAGCAUUCUAUGUCAGAGACUUCAACAUGAGUGGACGCUGCAAAGUUUUAUGCACUUGUUUGUUACUUUUGCUGUUACAGAAAAUGGUGAUUUCCUUGACAUGUGGACUGUCUAACCUAACUCAUACCCUUACUAAAGAAGAAUAUGAUUCCAUUUAUAUCAGCUAUACCAUGACUAUAACAGCCAGCCCAGAUGUUCCAGACAUAUUCUACGCUCUGUAUCAAGUUUGUGAAAGAAACUCUUUGACUACUGCAUGUACAUUUAUUUACAACGAUUAUCACAGGAAGUUUGGGAAGGAUUUAAGUGAAAAGACAGG
Pomacea canaliculata is the source of this 452-nucleotide long non-coding RNA. RefSeq lists it as uncharacterized. The record is from RefSeq and is a predicted model, not a curated record. Lineage: Eukaryota; Metazoa; Mollusca; Gastropoda; Architaenioglossa; Ampullariidae. The transcript is spliced from 3 exons.